UAUCGUUUGACAUAUGCCUUUCGUAUAUCCUCGAAAAUAAGGUUCGAAAGUUUCUACCGGGUCACCGUAAAUGACUCGACUAUGAAGGCAGAAGAAGGUUUG
Regulatory RNA element from Oceanobacillus oncorhynchi, 102 nucleotides. It matches the Rfam family "Purine riboswitch aptamer". Rfam says of the family: Riboswitches are metabolite binding domains within certain messenger RNAs that serve as precision sensors for their corresponding targets. Allosteric rearrangement of mRNA structure is mediated by ligand binding, and this results in modulation of gene expression. The record is from Rfam. NCBI's taxonomy places the organism in Bacteria, Bacillati, Bacillota, Bacilli, Caryophanales, Bacillaceae.